AUGACGGCGGUUCUUCUGCUAGUGAAUGGGGUUGGCCUUCUUAGCUUCUGGCUGUCUGUGGCCAGUCCUUUCAACGUCAGCGUCUCAGCAAAUCGUGAGAGGUACAAAACAAAUGAGAACAUUAAGGUGACAUGUAAUGCUACAGGCAAACCCUUUCCGGAGUUUUCGUGGCAUCUCCCUUCCACAGAGGGUGUGGAAUUCUCAGACAACAACCGGACCAUUGAGAUAUCUUCAGCUCAGAGUUCCCAUAAUGGGACAUACCUAUGUCUGGCCAAUAAUAUUUAUGGCAAGAAAUCGGCACGAGUGGACAUCGUCUUUGAAGAGUCGACUCGCAGCUGGAUCGCCGCAGUGGUGGUGGUGACGUUGCUGGCAGUCCUGAUCACGGCUGGAGUCGUCUUGUACCGCUGUCAGAAAUGA
Molecule: long non-coding RNA, 417 nt
Filed under: Pogona vitticeps (central bearded dragon)
Lineage: Eukaryota; Metazoa; Chordata; Lepidosauria; Squamata; Agamidae
Description: lncRNA (ENSPVIG00000008031.1)
Source: RNAcentral